GCUAUGGAUCCAGCUCUAAAAUCAACUCUCUGUCCUCACUGUGGUUGUGUUCUUUCAAGAAAAACUCUGCUUACUCACAGGAGAAUGUACUAUGACGAAGACAGUGACACCUGGGUAAAGAAAAGAAAAGAGCUUGAAGAUGACUUAUGAUAUAUCCUUUGUUGAGGAUGAAAAUGAUGAGACACUGACUGAGCCAACUUCUCCACCACCACCACUUGUGAACUUUGAUACAGGUUGGUUCUUGGUUUUAUACACAUUAACCUCGCAGUGCAUGGGUGUUUGGCAUGUGCAUUCCUAGAGUCAAUGUCAUAGUUACAGCUAAGGCCUAAGCUCCACUAAAGUAUACCAUAAUAGCAGGGUAUUUUCGAGGCAUAUUAUUAGCUACUUUGCUAUGCGCACGCUGUAGGUACCAGCACAUGUGCAUUGGGCUGCUCUUUCAUGUGGUAUCUUUAAUAUAAUUGCCUCGAGGUACACUUCAUGCAAUACUGUGAAAGAAAAGUGACCGUUUGAUAAUGGCUACCUAGGGCAGCUAGCGCUAGAUAGUGAGAAUAACGAGUAAGAGGACAGUGACUGGGAUCAUACCAAGAGAGGAAACUACUUUUCAGAGGUCAAGCUAUAAGUAAGUAUGGAGUAUCAUAUGUAGUCUGGAGAGCUUCAGCAUGGUAUUAGCUUCAGCAUGGUAUGCUUAGUCUAGUUAGUACACAUCAUGAGCCACCAUUGAACUUGUAAACCUGUGUGUAGGUGAAGAAAACAUUUCCCGGGAAAAGAGCGUCUGCCUCGCAGAGAAGUUUCUGCUGAUCCUGAUUGAACCAUGUUACCGUGAGAACAUUGAGAACACUUACUUCGUAGUGUCUUUAGUUACUUCAUGCCUUCAUACAAUUCAUGCCUUCAUACAAUAUUGUUUAUGUUCAUAAUUGUGAAAUGUGUAAAAAAAUCGUCAAUUAGUUCAGUUGCUAGGUAACGAUGAUGAUGUCAUGGUACCCCCAGGAUCUGGGCUACCUGUAGGAAAUAGUUGCAAGUGAUUACAGUGAUUACAAUGCAUUGUUCAUGAGAGAUAUGUAUUUUUAAAGAAAAAUGUGUAUUUAUUCUGUAUUUUGUUUUUUUAAUUAAAGGGUCACUUGACAUUUCAGGUUGGCUGAAAGCUGGAAGCCACUACACCGCUGGAAGCCACUACACAUUUCCUGGCUGACUGAAAUAUGGACGGUCAACUGACAUUUACUUUAACUGAAAUUUUAAACCCGUAUCAGGAAAUUUAUUUCUUUGAAUGUCCAUUACAUUUCAGCACAUAUCACUGCCACAUAUCACUGCACAUGAAAACCCAUUUUUGUACUAGUGGCACAUACAUAUAUAUCAUUAGAGUACGCAUGCAAGACAAGCAUAUGAAUAAAUAUAGCCAGCAUACAAAACGCAAGCAUAGUUCGCGGUCAUUUGCUCCUCGCUUCAGCACCAGGAUCUGCAUAUAGUAUACUUACAGUCUUACUAUACUUACAGUCUUACCUCAUAAUUAUUACGUCCCAGCUCUACGAUAAAUAAUUGUGUAGCAACAACACACCAGUGCAUAAACGACAUUAUACUUACCUCUGACACUUGGUAAGUGUGCAACAUUUCCAGCAGUAGUAAUUUCGUGUCUGCAAGGAAAUGCUACAUUAAGUUGGCUCUUGUAAGACUUCCACUUACCUCUGAAGUUAUAUAAGUGGCAUCCGCGAUGUUAAUGCACGCACAGGUGCCCCCGAACAAUUCUCGCUGCAAAGUGCACAACAUCUGAUUGGCAGUUUGUGAUUAAAUGUCGGUCAUCCAAGAUUUCCAGUCCUGUCAGUUGUUGCCUUACAUUGACCACAGAUCCCAGGUCUCCGAAGACAAAGGGUCGAACGAUGAUUUGGUAACUCGCAUGGUCACGAGCAAGAUUACCCCGCUUCUGGGGUGAGUGGUUCCCAGGCUACAGCAACAUCAACAAUGGUGAUCGUCUUCCUGGUAUGGUCACGAAUGACUAUAUCCGGUCUGCACGGCACAUCCUUGUUUUUUGUCCUUAUGAUGGUAUCAACUUCUAUGAAGAUCGUCUUCAUAUCCCCGACUGUUCCGAUACCAGUCCACUGCAUGGCCUUGGCCCCAGUGGAGACAGGAAGGCAGGGUGUAGUGUAGAGUAGAGGCUAAUGCUCGGGUAACCUGGUACACGACUUUGUCGUGUCGUUCCUUGUAUACACUGUUAAAAUUGAUGUGUUAAUUAGCACCCUACUUUUUUUUUUAUUGCAAUAGAACACACUAAACUGAACAGUGAGUAAUAGAACACACAAGACUGCUGAGAGUGUAAAUAAACACACUGUAAACUAGCGCACUAUUGUAGUGUAAUGUAAAGUAUAGCACACUACCAUCUGGACCUAUAUAAGUUAAUUCUUCUACAUAAUUAUGCCCACGUGCAUGCACUUACACUAUCGCUGCACGCGCAUGCUUUCAAACAGUGCUGAGAUUAAAAUUAUGUCAUCAGGACUUUACACAUGAUUAAUGACGGAUAUAAUUAUAGAUAUAAGUUCAGGACGUAUAGUACAAAGGAUAAAUUUAAGAGAUUAUGUCAUCAGGACUUUGAAUAUCAGGAUAGCACAAAGGACAAAAUCGUUUUAAAGCACGAUAAUUUAAGAGCAGGAUUUAAAUGAAACAAAUGUCUUGAAUGGAAUAGGCGGACUUCAUUGUCAUCGUCAUCUUCACCGUAACAUAAAACAACGAAGAACAAUUGACCGAAGUUAAAGGUGAAAUGUAGCACAAUCAUUUCCUAUGUGUAUGUAUAUACAUGGACAUAGAAGUCAGUAUUGUUGUAUUAUUAAUAGGAUGACAUUAUAGUAGCAUAAUAGUAACUUAAGCCAUAGUGUGACAUAACAUUGUAAUUUCUCACCUGUUCAACAAAAGUAAUAUCAAUGGCCAUGGCAGUCAGACACUGAGCUCAAGUUCAUAUGCAGCAGCAUGGAAAGAUGGAAAGUUCACUGAUCACCCCAUCUCCUAAAGUAAUAGUAAAUACUCAAGGCCACCAUACUAUUAACACUUUAAGCAAUGCCUUUGAUCAUAGAUCCAAUUCAAAAAUUCAAAUUCUAGAGAACACCAUGGUUAGACCGAUUAUAAUCAAAAGAGAGGGUAUGCAUGGCCAUGAAACUCAAAUCACUAUCUAUGCAGAAUUCAAAUGUGGGCGGAUGAAUAUGUGAAUUUGAAUGAAGUGCUAAAAAUAGAAAUUUCUAUUUUUAGCACUUCACGCACAGUCAUGGCACAUUCAUCCGCCCACAAUUGAAUUCUGCUCUUUUGUUCUUCUCAUUAUGACUCUGGAAGGAAUUAGACUUGGCUUUUUAGAAGCAGGUUUAAACAGGUCAAGCGCGGACGUUGAAGAAACUGAAUAAAAAGACAUACUUCGCUUAUCGGUUUUGCAUACUGCAUGUUUAGCACAUAAUGUACUGCAAACCAGUAGAGCAUAGCCUUGAUAAAGGUUGGGAUUUGACAUGGCAGAAUGCUACUAGCUAUAUGUAGGUAUCCUUCCUACUAUACUCGUAAGUACCUACAUACGUAUAGCAAGCUCAGAAUGAUGAAUUGCACGUGGUAUACUACUGAGAGUUGGGCGGAGCCAAUCUCUGAAGUAAAACUCACGUGGUUACUCACGUGGGAAUGCCUGGAAAUGCGCUUGCGCGUAGAUCAAGGCACGAAGUGCAAAAAGACAGCAUGGCAGCUACAGCAAGAGAUCAUAGUGACACUGUCUACUCUUUCACCACUGAGGAGUUGUCUAACUAUCUGGCUGAUCAAGGACAGCACCAAGAUGUACUGACUGCUGUAGUGUACUGACUGCUGUAGAAGUGAACAGACUGACUGGAGCUGUUUCCAGUGUUAGGGGCAAGGAUGUCUGUUCAAAGGCUGAUUUCAUCCUUUACUUCUAAGCCUGCACCAAACCAACAGUCUGAAACUCCUUUAGCUAAAGUAAGAACAAGUAACAAGGAUUGGGUUAAAACUUUCAAACUCCCUGAUCGUUUCAACAACCGCACUAUGAAAUCCCUCAGGGAGGGUGUGAUAACCAAGGCCGCUCGCAUAGACAUCAUUGGCUCGUUGUAUACCUUGAUGAUGCAGAAUGAUCCUAAACCAAACGGCUUUGUCUAUGAAAUGGCCUGCACAAGGCUCAUGGAGAAAAUUACGGACAAUACUGAUUCUGGAUUUGGUACGUGGAAGGAACAGCUUAAACAGAAAUUCAGGAAUGGCCGUAGAGGCGACAAGGAUGAUGAACCUGACGUGGAUAUCCCCGAUACCACCCCCAAGAGAACGUAGAAUUGGAUCAAACGCAUCCCCUGAGGAUAUAGACAUCUGCAGUGUAUCCUACCAGGAUAAAAUCUCUUUGAUAUAUGCAAAGAGCAAAGAGCAACCCAAAGGCAUCUAAAUUGAAACGUUUGUUGUUGGAAACAUUUGGUGGUAGGAGAGAGUGGAUUAUCAAACAACAGACAAACUCCAAAACUGCAUAAUUGAAAUCAAAUGCACGGACAUGCGCAUAGAAAAUUUAGGUUUUCUUACAAUCCUCCUCCUCCUCCUCCUCCUCGCUUUGAGGAGGAAUCUUUUGAAGGGUUUCUCUUAUGCAAGGUCUCGUCGGUGCUUCAAUCUGCGCAAGCUUGAUGAGUUUCUCCUUGAACACUGACUGGCCACUCUCUCAGGAAAUCAUGUUUCUUAAGCAAGCCCAGAAUCAUGGUGAGCUCUCGUUUGAGCUAUUAUUAUAAGUACAAAGAGUAUACAUCAUCAUGCACAUGGCCAAACUUUAUAUACACUCACCCGUGAAGACUGCUGCAUAGGAAAAACGAGCCUUCUGGAUAAUUUCCUUGCAAGCAGGGACAAAAUGCGGCUGCUCUACGAGUUUCCGGCUGAUGAGAAGAAUAUCAAGAACCUACCUCCUGCUCCAGCAAUUGUAUUAUCUCAUUCGGACUCUGUCUGCUGUCCAAAUCAUCGUGGUUGCAGAAAAGAGUAUUAUUGUUGAGCCAGACAAGGCAUUAGAAGA
Long non-coding RNA from Halichondria panicea, 5002 nucleotides. RefSeq lists it as uncharacterized. The transcript has 6 exons. NCBI's taxonomy places the organism in Eukaryota, Metazoa, Porifera, Demospongiae, Suberitida, Halichondriidae. The record is from RefSeq and is a predicted model, not a curated record.